Molecule: long non-coding RNA, 757 nt
Filed under: Nicotiana benthamiana
Lineage: Eukaryota; Viridiplantae; Streptophyta; Magnoliopsida; Solanales; Solanaceae
Description: long non-coding RNA (NBEN_LNC031935)
Source: RNAcentral
GAAAGCUUGGAAUAUAAAGGACAUGAUGUAGAGUGAAACAAAGGAAUUGUAUGGAUCCAGUGCAUGUUAACUUUACCUUAUAACCAUUAGGCAAGGUAACUAAGUAUGGUAUAACUAAUGGUUUAAUACCAAACAGAAGGUCUUUGUUAGAUGUCAUGUGAUCAGUGGUACCAGAAUCUAUUAUCCAAAUGCAUUCACUAAUUUUGGUUAACAUGCAAGCUCCAUAAGAUACAUUCCUUAAACGAUUAUGAGGAGAAAGAGUACCAGCAAAGUUGGCAGAUGCCAUAAGACUGGAUUGCUGUUGAGACUCUGAAAUUUGUGUCUGUUGAAGCAGCAACAUGAGUUGUGAAUAUUGAUCUUUAGUUUAACCAGGAAUCAAGGAUUCUGACUCAGAGGACCCCUGAGUACUAUGAGCAUUGUUUGGAGACCCCAUAGAAUUCGGACAUCCCUGCACCUCAACAUUUGCUGCAGUACUCUUGUUUCUGGUAAUCUUGAAGUCUGGUGGGAAUCCAUGAAGUUUGUAGCACUUGUCAAUCAUAUGACCAGGUUUCUUGCAGUAUCUACACACCAAGUUUGUUUAGUGGAGAUCAAAGCUGACUCUUUGAUUGACUGUUUAGAAUGUGUAGGUAUCCUAGGGACUUUGUUGGUGAAAUAGGUGUUGAAGGAACUGGAGUCACUAUGGAACUGAAAGGGUGAUGAUGUAACUUGUCUUUGCCUCUCAUCCUGAAGAAGAAUGUUGUAUGCACUGUCUAGAGAU